GAUGAACGCUGGCGGCGUGCCUAAUACAUGCAAGUCGAGCGAACGUACGAGAAGCUUGCUUCUCUGAUGUUAGCGGCGGACGGGUGAGUAACACGUGGAUAACCUACCUAUAAGACUGGGAUAACUUCGGGAAACCGGAGCUAAUACCGGAUAAUAUUUUGAACCGCAUGGUUCAAAAGUGAAAGACGGUCUUGCUGUCACUUAUAGAUGGAUCCGCGCUGCAUUAGCUAGUUGGUAAGGUAACGGCUUACCAAGGCAACGAUGCAUAGCCGACCUGAGAGGGUGAUCGGCCACACGGGAACUAAGACACGGUCCAGACUCCUACGGGAGGCAGCAGGAGGGAAUCUUCCGCAAUGGGCGAAGGCCUGACGGAGCAACGCCGCGUGAGUGAUGAAGGUCUUCGGAUCGUAAAACUCUGUUAUUAGGGAAGAACAUAUGUGUAAGUAACUGUGCACAUCUUGACGGUACCUAAUCAGAAAGCCACGGCUAACUACGUG
This 497-nucleotide ribosomal RNA is filed under the name uncultured bacterium. Its description in RNAcentral is "partial 16S ribosomal RNA". It matches the Rfam family "Bacterial small subunit ribosomal RNA", at positions 28 to 507 of the family's 1533-position model. The record is from RNAcentral.